RNAcentral lists this ribosomal RNA (430 nucleotides) under uncultured archaeon. RNAcentral describes it as "bacterial SSU rRNA". It matches the Rfam family "Archaeal small subunit ribosomal RNA", at positions 474 to 903 of the family's 1478-position model. The record is from RNAcentral.
UACCUGCAGCUCAAGUGGUGGCCAUUAUUAUUGGGCCUAAAACGUCCGUAGCCGGUUUAUUAAAUGCCUGGGUAAAUCGGGCCGCUUAACGGUUCGAAUUCCGGGUAGACUGAUAGACUUGGGACCGGGAGAAGCUAGAGGUACUCCUGGGGUAGAGGUGAAAUUCUGUAAUCCUAGGGGGACCACCAGUGGCGAAGGCGUCUAGCUAGAACGGGUCUGACGGUGAGGGACGAAGCCCUGGGGCGCAAACCGGAUUAGAUACCCGGGGUAGUCCAGGGUGUAAACGCUGCUUGCUUGAUGUUAGUCGGGCUCCGAGCCCGAUUAGUGUCGGAGAGAAGUUGUUGAGCAAGCUGCCUGGGAAGUACGGCCGCAAGACUGAAACUUAAAGGAAUUGGCGGGGGAGCACAGCAACGGGUGGAGCGUGCGGUUU